UGGGAAUUUUGGACAAUGGGCGAAAGCCUGAUCCAGCAAUGCCGCGUGUGUGAAGAAGGCCUUCGGGUUGUAAAGCACUUUUGUCCGGAAAGAAAUCCUUGGCUCUAAUACAGUCGGGGGAUGACGGUACCGGAAGAAUAAGCACCGGCUAACUACGUGCCAGCAGCCGCGGUAAUACGUAGGGUGCAAGCGUUAAUCGGAAUUACUGGGCGUAAAGCGUGCGCAGGCGGUUUGCUAAGACCGAUGUGAAAUCCCCGGGCUCAACCUGGGAACUGCAUUGGUGACUGGCAGGCUAGAGUAUGGCAGAGGGGGGUAGAAUUCCACGUGUAGCAGUGAAAUGCGUAGAGAUGUGGAGGAAUACCGAUGGCGAAGGCAGCCCCCUGGGCCAAUACUGACGCUCAUGCACGAAAGCGUGGGGAGCAAAACAGGAUUAGAUACCCUGGUAGUCCACGCCCUAAACGAUGUCAACUAGUUGUUGGGGAUUCAUUUCCUUAGUAACGUAGCUAACGCGUGAAGUUGACCGCCUGGGGAGUACGGUCGCAAGAUUAAAACUCAAAUGAAUUGACGGGGUCAUAGCUG
RNAcentral lists this ribosomal RNA (579 nucleotides) under uncultured bacterium. RNAcentral's name for it is "partial 16S ribosomal RNA". It matches the Rfam family "Bacterial small subunit ribosomal RNA", at positions 356 to 932 of the family's 1533-position model. The record is from RNAcentral.